UCAAAUUUUAUUAGCAGCAUCUAAUUACUAAGUGUAAGUUUAUACCAACCCAAUUAGGCAUAUAACAUUAACAUUAACCCAAAGGUAAAGGUAACAUGGUUUAUUCUCAUCUUUAAGUUCAUUUUUUUUUCAUGUGAGGGUCCAAGCCGCUCUUAACCGUGAGCACGGCUGAUAUAUCAGUUUUCACUCUGCAGAGGUUGUACACUUUACCCACAACUCGUG
Molecule: long non-coding RNA, 222 nt
Filed under: Setaria italica (foxtail millet)
Lineage: Eukaryota; Viridiplantae; Streptophyta; Magnoliopsida; Poales; Poaceae
Description: long non-coding RNA (SITA_LNC002021)
Source: RNAcentral